This is a long non-coding RNA of Zophobas morio, 234 nucleotides long. RefSeq lists it as uncharacterized. Lineage: Eukaryota; Metazoa; Arthropoda; Insecta; Coleoptera; Tenebrionidae. The transcript is spliced from 3 exons. The record is from RefSeq and is a predicted model, not a curated record.
AAGGAAAGUGAAUAAAGAUAUUAACGUUGUAUAUGCGUCUUCUUCUUCGGUUUACGGAAGAAACAAAAAAGUUCCAUUUAAGGAGAAGGACGAAAUAAACUUACCAUCAAGUAUGUAUGCCGUUUCGAAAAAAGUUGGAGAAGAUAUUGCGAGUGUUUAUCAUUAUUUAUAUAACAUCCAUUUUACUGGUCUUCGCUUUUUUACUGUAUAUGGUCCAUGGGGCAGGCCGGAUAU